Molecule: long non-coding RNA, 338 nt
Filed under: Rattus norvegicus (Norway rat)
Lineage: Eukaryota; Metazoa; Chordata; Mammalia; Rodentia; Muridae
Description: long non-coding RNA NONRATT031399
Source: RNAcentral
UUGCAGAAGAGGUGACUUCAGUUUCUAGCUGCACAACAGCUGCCUCACAAUUGUGAAAGUGGAAGGUUCCCGAAAAGCAACAUCUGAGUUUGUCUUCUGAGCUCCACAUCUGCAUGCUGUGCACACAUCUACCCAUUGUUUGGGUGACAUUUCUCACUGUGUAUGAAGAUUUCCCUGGAUCAAAAAAGCUAAGGGCCUGGAAUGCCAACAGCAGAACCAAUGUGGUGGCCAGUGGUACAGCCUGCUACUGCUAUCAAGUAACUCAUGUCGCAGAUGGAGGUGGCUCCAGUCAGUCUGUGAAGAACUUUAUUCCUCUGCUCCCUCUAAAUCUCUCUUGA